RNAcentral lists this ribosomal RNA (699 nucleotides) under uncultured bacterium. RNAcentral describes it as "bacterial SSU rRNA". It matches the Rfam family "Bacterial small subunit ribosomal RNA", at positions 613 to 1314 of the family's 1533-position model. The record is from RNAcentral.
CCUGGGAACUGCGUUNUGAACUGGGUGACUAGAGUGUGUCAGAGGGAGGUAGAAUUCCACGUGUAGCAGUGAAAUGCGUAGAGAUGUGGAGGAAUACCGAUGGCGAAGGCAGCCUCCUGGGAUAACACUGACGUUCAUGCCCGAAAGCGUGGGUAGCAAACAGGAUUAGAUACCCUGGUAGUCCACGCCCUAAACGAUGUCGAUUAGCUGUUGGGCAGCAUGACUGCUUAGUAGCGAAGCUAACGCGUGAAAUCGACCGCCUGGGAGUACGGUCGCAAGAUUAAAACUCAAAGGAAUUGACGGGGACCCGCACAAGCGGUGGAUGAUGUGGAUUAAUUCGAUGCAACGCGAAGAACCUUACCUGGUCUUGACAUGUACGGAACCCUCCAGAGGCGGAGGAGUGCCUUCGGGAGCCGUAACACAGGUGCUGCAUGGCUGUCGUCAGCUCGUGUCGUGAGAUGUUGGGUUAAGUCCCGCAACGAGCGCAACCCUUGUCAUUAGUUGCCAUCAUUAAGUUGGGCACUCUAAUGAGACUGCCGGUGACAAGCCGGAGGAAGGUGGGGAUGACGCCAAGUCCUCAUGGCCCUUAUGACCAGGGCUUCACACGUCAUACAAUGGUCGGUACAGAGGGUAGCCAAGCCGCGAGGCGGAGCCAAUCUCACAAAACCGAUCGUAGUCCGGAUUGCACUCUGCAACUCG